AUAGUUCAUUCUCUCUCACUAUUAAUCUUGGAGCAGUACUGAGAAGGUUAGCAUGAUCCCUUCAAAAGGAAGGCAUGCAACUUUGGGAAGUGUUCCUUAUUUUU
Molecule: small nuclear RNA, 104 nt
Organism: Chiloscyllium plagiosum (whitespotted bambooshark)
Lineage: Eukaryota; Metazoa; Chordata; Chondrichthyes; Orectolobiformes; Hemiscylliidae
Source: RefSeq, a predicted model, not a curated record